RNAcentral lists this long non-coding RNA (391 nucleotides) under Vigna radiata. RNAcentral's name for it is "long non-coding RNA (VRAD_LNC006088)". The record is from RNAcentral. Lineage: Eukaryota; Viridiplantae; Streptophyta; Magnoliopsida; Fabales; Fabaceae.
AAUGUACCAUGAUGUCAAAAAAAGAUGGAGGGAAAAACAUCUCUAGUUGACACAAGAUGAUAACAAUCUCGCCUUGAAGUUCAUCUAACUUUGUAGGAUCGAUGGCUUUACUACAUAUUGACGAGAAAAAUGAACACAACCUGUUUAUGGUGUGCCUAACAUUUUUCGACAAAAUUCCACGAAUAGCCACCGGUAACAACUGUUGCAUUAAGACGUGACNAUCGUGAGACUUCAUGCCAACAAGCUUUACGUCCUGCAUCGAUACUAAACUCUUGAUAUUUGAAGAGUAUCCUUGUGGUACUUUGAUACUCUUUAAACAAACACAAAAACUUAUCUUCUCUUGUCUAGACAUUGUGUAACAUGCAGGGGGCAAAUAAGUACGUUUACCAAC